This 440-nucleotide long non-coding RNA is filed under the name Ananas comosus (pineapple). Its description in RNAcentral is "long non-coding RNA (ACOM_LNC010809)". The record is from RNAcentral. Lineage: Eukaryota; Viridiplantae; Streptophyta; Magnoliopsida; Poales; Bromeliaceae.
UUCCGAUCUAAUUAGCGUUCGGGGUCUUUUGAGAGAUUUUCUCUGUACUCCGUCCUUCGACAUUAAUAAAUUAUUUGCUCCGUCUUCGUCCGUGGACAUAGGCCGCUGGCCGAACCACGUAAAUAUUAGUGUGCUCUUUCCUUAUCUUUUCUUUUUCUGCAUUAAAUUAUUUUCUGGAUCUAUUUUUCGCCGUUCCGAUUUUAACACUUUAUAACUAAAUAUGGUAUCAAAGCAAGGUUUUAAGUUCGAGUGCCACCAAACUCCUAGCAUUAUUAAUUUUAUUUAUUUAUUUCAAGUCUAUAAAUAUUAAAGGCACUUUCACGAAUAGUUUAAAUUUUUAGAGAAUAAUGAUUGUUUCUUUUAAUUUAAGUUAUUUAACAGAUAUAAAACACACAACUGUUUCAUAUAAUUUAACAAAUCUAAGAUGCACAAAUCGUUUC